UUUGUGAAAUACACUUGCAGAAUAAGCCCACAGACCCAGCAGUUUCAGCUCAACAUGUCAGUUUACUUGUGACCCCACUGGUACUGACAUUAAAUUAUUACGAACAUCUUUCCAAAGGCACUGGACGGGCUGAAGGCACAGAGGGAGAACAUGAGGCCUGUCGGGUUGUGAUGAGGCCUCCUAGUUUGGGUGGAGAAUGAGUGCCUGUGGUAGGACGUCAGAUGUAACAUUUACCUCUUUUUUCCACAGGUGGAGUAGGAGCUGUUUUUCCCACAAUGGGAAGUUUUAAUCUUCCUCCCUGUAUAUACAUAUAUUUCCAGCUAAUGCAGUUUAUAAACCACGUCUGCAGGGAAGAUGGAAGUUCCUACUGCCAGCAUCCUCACCUCGCCCUAAUCUACUUAAUGAUGUAGCUGGCCUGCUGUGCAGAGACCCGCUUACACACCCGCCGGCAAUGGGCCGUUACUGCCUGAGUCGCUGCAGAAGGAGCUCGGCCCGCUGCUCUGGGCGGAGGCGGGUUACAGACCCGCCGGGUGCUGCUGCAGACGUGACUCCAGCAUUCCACCCGCCGCCCUGAGAACAAAGCCGGUAUAAACCCUUUCAUCCCCAGCUUUCCCUUGUUGUUAUUCGGUCUCACUGAAUCCAGAGUGAACUUGCCUGGGGCUGAAACCCUCCGGUGAGACAAGGUCAAAUUAUAGUAUCAAAUUUUCUAAAAGAGAUGAAUAUAUGCAUUUGUUUAUAUAAAAAAUUUAGAUCUGGGGCAUCAGUAUAAAUAGAUAACAUCUAUUAAGUGAAAAUAAAGGCUUCAUCCCUUUUGAACCCAAAGGUGAGACCAUCCCCACCUCAAGGGGCUGGCGACCAGGGCCGGGGUCACAGAUAGAUCGCUGGGUGAUGCGACAAGCUAGGGAAGGCGCGGUGCUAAGCGACAGCCUCCCGGGCCCCGAGGGAGGGGCCUCCUGGAUCACCGCCCUGUUAGGCGUUCGGGGCCCAGAGCAGGGCCGGGCGAGGGGCGAGGGGCGUGGGGCGUGGGGCGCGGGGAGACCUGUCCCGUCUGCGGUCCUUGGGACCCGUGGGGACGAAGUGGUUUGGUCCCCUUCACAGGACAUUGCUUACAUGCUGGCCUUCCCCCCUGCUCCCCCGACUCUUUCUCGGUGUAUUUAUACGUAAAAUUGCUUUGGAUUUUAAGUUCGUCAAAGCCCAGGAUCUUGCCUUGCUAACGUGCAUUGCACAGCAUGAUACACGGAACUAUGUCGAAACGGCGCUUAGCAAAUGGUUUCUGAAGGUGACGGACGGAGACGUCUCCCGGCAGAAGUGUCCUGGGCACACACCCUCAAGUACCCGCAGCAGGAGGGCUGAGACCCCCCCGCAGUUUCCGGGCCCUCCAAUCACGCCCUCAGGAAGGGGCUUGCACCGCGGCCGGCCCGACCCUCGGACGCGUUUGUGAUGUUCACGCGCCCCCUGGAGGGAACAGUAAUCUCGGCUUCCGGGGAACACGCGCGUGCGUGUCGGGGGUGUGCGCGUGAUGUGCGUGUGCGUGUCGGGGUGUGUGCGUCAUGUGCAUGUGCGCGAUGUGCACUGCGCGACAUGUGUGCGUGUGCGUGUGCGCGCGUAUGUGAUGUGCGGGUGGGGGGGGUGCGCGCGCGGUGUGCGCUGCACUGGGCUGCGUCUUCCCCCCCGGCCCCACCCCCGGGCUGCAGGCGGGUCCCGGCGCCGCGGUCCCGGCCCUGACCCGUCCAAGUCGCCCCAGGGCCGCUCCCGUCUCUCCCCUUCAGUUUCUUCACUACCCGGCCGACACCCGGGUCAUGGGUGACUUAAUGCAGAAUCCUGAGCUGGUCCCCCACCACACUGAGAAUUUUUCUCAGUCUCACAAAUGAACCCAGCACAGCCGGACACCCCGAGCAGAUACAGGGCCAGCGCACAGGCCUGGCAGCAGAGGAGGGAGGAAUCCAGGUCAUACCCUCCAUGUCCCCAGCCCGGAAGGACAUUUCUCUUCCAGGACACCGAGGCCCACUGACCUGCAAAGCAACCUGCUCUAUGGGCACUUUGAGCUAAGGAGGAAGAUCGUCCCAGGCACAACGCCUCGUGCGGGACUCCAGCUUUGCACGGAAUAUUCUUUUGCCUGCCUCCAAGAUGGUCCCUAGAUGGGCCCCACAUCUUUCUAAGAGCUCAACGGUCACUUUCUGAGCGGUUCCGCAUGGAGGGAAGCCAACCUCCCAGCCCAUCAGGCUGCCCCGCCUUGCCAAGAACUCAUCACCACCUGAAUGACCUCCUUCCCUUCCCAACGCGGGUCACUGGGUGCCUGCAGUGGACUCUGUCUUCCAUGGGAUGUACCAGCCUACCAAGGGACAGGCUGUCUCCCGGAGCCGACAGACUGUCGGUCCCGUUGUUCACUUAGUUGUUGUCAGCCUCCCCCACUGGAACACAAGCCGUGUGAGAGCAGGGACCUUGGUCAGCCUGGCCCACUGCCUUAUCCCCAGAGCCUAGAAAAAUUAUGUAACUUGCCCAAGUUUAUACAACUAUUCAUAGUAGAGGCAUUUGUUUCUAGGCCCUGUUCUCUUAACCACUAGACAAUCUUGUCUUACAAACAGCUCUCGGCCAUUCAUUGAUUUGUUCUACAAAUAUUUAUUGAACACCACAACAUGCCAGCUGUUGUUCUAGAUCAGCGGUGUUCAGUACAGCUGAGGGCGAUAACGGAAUGUUCCCUGUCUGUCCUGCCCAAUAUGGUAGCCACGCGCCACAUGCCCAUGCGACUGAAGCGCUGAAUCUUCAUUUCACUGCAAGGGAUUCUCCGCAAGAGUGAAGACAGGCUGCAGACCUCCCGCUGGCCACAGUGACCGGAUGGAUGAGAUCUAGGAGCUGUAGGUUGACACAGUGUAACUCCUUGGCCAUCAUCUGCGUCACCCGGCCUGC
Non-coding RNA from Manis javanica (Malayan pangolin), 2907 nucleotides. NCBI's taxonomy places the organism in Eukaryota, Metazoa, Chordata, Mammalia, Pholidota, Manidae. The record is from RefSeq and is a predicted model, not a curated record.